UUUCCAUGACCGCUGAAUCCAUUUUUGGAACGGAGGAACCAUCGGCAGUUUUUUAUUGCCUGGGGUGAAACUUAUUAAGUCGGGCGACUUCUGCCGUCCGAACCCGUCAGCUAACUUCGUAAGCGUGGUAGGAGAGGGAAG
RNAcentral lists this small RNA (141 nucleotides) under Fictibacillus phosphorivorans. RNAcentral describes it as "c-di-AMP sequence". It matches the Rfam family "c-di-AMP riboswitch aptamer (ydaO/yuaA leader)". Rfam says of the family: This family represents a conserved RNA structure found upstream of the ydaO and yuaA genes in Bacillus subtilis and related genes in other bacteria. The ydaO/yuaA element is thought to act as a genetic "off" switch for the ydaO and yuaA genes in its native state. The record is from RNAcentral. Lineage: Bacteria; Bacillati; Bacillota; Bacilli; Caryophanales; Fictibacillaceae.